This 484-nucleotide ribosomal RNA is filed under the name uncultured bacterium. RNAcentral's name for it is "partial 16S ribosomal RNA". It matches the Rfam family "Bacterial small subunit ribosomal RNA", at positions 30 to 507 of the family's 1533-position model. The record is from RNAcentral.
AUUGAACGCUGGCGGCAGGCCUAACACAUGCAAGUCGAGCGGAUGAAGGGAGCUUGCUCCUGGAUUCAGCGGCGGACGGGUGAGUAAUGCCUAGGAAUCUGCCUGGUAGUGGGGGAUAACGUCCGGAAACGGGCGCUAAUACCGCAUACGUCCUGAGGGAGAAAGUGGGGGAUCUUCGGACCUCACGCUAUCAGAUGAGCCUAGGUCGGAUUAGCUAGUUGGUGGGGUAAAGGCCUACCAAGGCGACGAUCCGUAACUGGUCUGAGAGGAUGAUCAGUCACACUGGAACUGAGACACGGUCCAGACUCCUACGGGAGGCAGCAGUGGGGAAUAUUGGACAAUGGGCGAAAGCCUGAUCCAGCCAUGCCGCGUGUGUGAAGAAGGUCUUCGGAUUGUAAAGCACUUUAAGUUGGGAGGAAGGGCAGUAAGCUAAUACCUUGCUGUUUUGACAUUACCAACAGAAUAAGCACCGGCUAACUUCGUG